RNAcentral lists this ribosomal RNA (474 nucleotides) under uncultured Rhodocyclaceae bacterium. RNAcentral describes it as "bacterial SSU rRNA". It matches the Rfam family "Bacterial small subunit ribosomal RNA", at positions 908 to 1382 of the family's 1533-position model. Lineage: Bacteria; Pseudomonadati; Pseudomonadota; Betaproteobacteria; Rhodocyclales; Rhodocyclaceae. The record is from RNAcentral.
AAAUUGACGGGGACCCGCACAAGCGGUGGAUGAUGUGGAUUAAUUCGAUGCAACGCGAAAACCUUACUACCCUUGACAUGUCCGGAAUCCCGAAGAGAUUUGGGAGUGCUCGCAAGAGAACCGGAACACAGGUGCUGCAUGGCUGUCGUCAGCUCGUGUCGUGAGAUGUUGGGUUAAGUCCCGCAACGAGCGCAACCCUUGUCAUUAGUUGCCAUCAUUUGGUUGGGCACUCUAAUGAGACUGCCGGUGACAAACCGGAGGAAGGUGGGGAUGACGUCAAGUCCUCAUGGCCCUUAUGGGUAGGGCUUCACACGUCAUACAAUGGUCGGUACAGAGGGUUGCCAACCCGCGAGGGGGAGCUAAUCCCACAAAGCCGAUCGUAGUCCGGAUCGCAGUCUGCAACUCGACUGCGUGAAGUCGGAAUCGCUAGUAAUCGUGGAUCAGCAUGUCACGGUGAAUACGUUCCCGGGUCUU